RNAcentral lists this ribosomal RNA (256 nucleotides) under uncultured bacterium. Its description in RNAcentral is "partial 16S ribosomal RNA". It matches the Rfam family "Bacterial small subunit ribosomal RNA", at positions 527 to 779 of the family's 1533-position model. The record is from RNAcentral.
CGGAGGGGCUAGCGUUGUUCGGAAUGACUGGGCGUAAAAGCGCGCGUAGGCGGAUUGGCAAGUUGGGGGUGAAAUCCCGGGGGCUCAACCUCGGAAUGGCCUUCAAGACUGCCGGUCUUGAGUUCGAGAGAGGUGAGUGGAAUUCCGAGUGUAGAGGUGAAAUUCGUAGAUAUUCGGAGGAACACCAGUGGCGAAGGCGGCUCACUGGCUCGACACUGACGCUGAGGUGCGAAAGCGUGGGGGAGCAAACAGGAUU